This 219-nucleotide long non-coding RNA is filed under the name Ananas comosus (pineapple). RNAcentral describes it as "long non-coding RNA (ACOM_LNC016418)". Lineage: Eukaryota; Viridiplantae; Streptophyta; Magnoliopsida; Poales; Bromeliaceae. The record is from RNAcentral.
AAUUUCUUUCGUCGCCAGGUGUUGAAAGAAGCUUUGUCUAUUUCUUCCGCGUUCGUGUCCGUAGGAGGAGUACCGGUCGUAUCUUGGGGCGGUGUUUCCGAUUAAUUCCGCACGAAAGACGGAAAUACGCCUUAGGAGAUUUUAUUUAUUUAAUCAUAAAAUUAAUUAGAUUUUAUCACAAUCGGAUUAUUCGUUGCGGGUUUUCCCCAACGGACCAAG